UUAUAAGAGACAGCAGCAGCCACGGUAAUACGAAGGGUGCAAGCGUUAAUCGGAAUUACUGGGCGUAAAGCGUGCGUAGGCGGCUUGGUAAGUUAGAGGUGAAAGCCUGGAGCUCAACUCCAGAAUUGCCUUUAAGACUGCCGAGCUAGCAGGUGAGAGAGGUAAGUGGAAUUCCGAGUGUAGAGGUGAAAUUCGUAGAUAUUCGGAAGAACACCAGUGGCGAAGGCGGCUUACUGGCUCAUACUGGACGCUGAGGUGCGAAAGCGUGGGGAGCAAACAGGAUUAGAUACCCGUGUAGUCCCUGUCUCUUAUAC
This 314-nucleotide ribosomal RNA is filed under the name uncultured bacterium. RNAcentral's name for it is "partial 16S ribosomal RNA". It matches the Rfam family "Bacterial small subunit ribosomal RNA", at positions 499 to 807 of the family's 1533-position model. The record is from RNAcentral.